CUUGUUGGUAUGACUAUAAAUAGUCAUUUUACAAUUCUUGGAUGCACUAAAAACAAGAGAUCAAAAUUCUCCAAAACGUUUUGUAACAAUAUUUAUUCCAUAAACCUUGUGUAGUAUCCAUAUUGGUCUCAUGAACAUGAAUUGCACAUUUAUUUCUCUAUAAAAAAGUUCAUAACUUUUGCCUAGAAUACCCAUGGUCUAUGAUAAAGGAAAACCUAAACCAAAAGUUGUAAGAUUUUUGUUCUUUAUCAAUUUGAAAGGGCUCUUAAUUGUU
RNAcentral lists this long non-coding RNA (274 nucleotides) under Spirodela polyrhiza (greater duckweed). RNAcentral describes it as "long non-coding RNA (SPOL_LNC000997)". Lineage: Eukaryota; Viridiplantae; Streptophyta; Magnoliopsida; Alismatales; Araceae. The record is from RNAcentral.